UGGUUAUGGAGAAAAGGGAAAGAAAAAUGAAUUCUUCUGUUAUAUCAAGAACAUAGCCUAUCACAUUAAAUGACAUGUCCAAAAAGGCCUGCAAAUAUUGACAAAAUAGAAUCCAACUUCUUCAUUUUCUUUUAUUUAGUGGCAUUGGAAAAAACUACCUUCCUUUCAUUUUUUCUUUUUUUUUUUUUUUUUUUUUUUUUUUUUUUACUUCUUUUGUAUCAAAUUUGAUCAUGUUCUCUUCUGAUGGAAUUAGGACGAAUUCCAAUGACCACAGAAGAGGGGUCGUAUCAUCAUAAUUGGCAAGUCGGUUCACCCGAGAUAGUCGAGAUUGGAGAGGAAAGCACAAGCAUGGAUGGAGGUUUUAAUGAUGUUUAUGUUGCUGUUGGGAAAAAUGAUUUGCAUGCUGUUAAAUGGGCACUUGAUCAUGCUGUCUCCAGCGAAAAAUUGUGUUUUCCUUGUGCAUGUUUUCCAUCCUAUUACUUACAUCCCUGCUCCAGGUAACCUACUGCUCUUCUAUUUUCUUGAAAAGACAUAUUUAGUAAGGAGGAUUGAAUAGCCAGACGGUAUUAAGAUUGGAAAAAGAGCUAAAAUCUUAUUUAUUUUAUUGUCUAGUCCUAUCUAACAGUGUAUACAGCAGACACACAGUAUGACUAUGAACCAGAUCAUGAGUCGAUGAUCUUAUUUCCUGUUUGACCUGAUCAUUCUCCAACAAAAAACAGAUGUUUAGCUUGGAGUCUAUAAAAAUUGAUUUGUGGAAUAUAUGGUCCUUGGCAUGCAAUAUUCGAUAUAAUUAGACAGUUUAAUGAACAAAAACUUUAAAACAUUUUCUUUACAUACAGUCUAACUUACCAAAAGUCAUAUCUUUACAAUAGAUUUUCCUACAAAUUGGGGUCGACUAGAUAAAAGUGCUUAAAAAUUGGACAAACAUCAGUUUUAAUUACACAUUCCUUUGGAUCUAAUACUUUUAGGCACUUACAAGUCUACACACGCGAGCACUAAUAUCUUACUUUUCGGUAUCCAUUGCACUUGAACUGUUUGUUAAAAUGGCUGAGUGAAACAUUUUAUUGCCUGAAGUUUCUGUUGGAAUUUUGUAUCGGAAAUUGGUUGUGACCAAUUUUACAUGAUUAUUUAGGCGGAAUUCUUAAUUUGGUGAAUGAGAAAUUAAGCCAAAUGUAAGCAGUUUAAUAUUGAAAAUUGUUGAAAAAUUGUAUAGAAUAUUGUAGAAUAUUCUAGAAAAUGGUUGGAUGAAAAUAUGUAUUGUCAUGUGAACGGUCAUAACCUUUGGCAUAAUUAUUUUCCAAUAAUUAUGAAUUUCAAGAGACGUGACUCUUGGUAUGGUUGUGGUCAUAACCUUUGGCAUAAUUAUUUUCCAAUAAUUAUGAAUUCCAAGAGAUGUGACUCUUGGUAUGUUUGUGUCUUUUGACAUACCUUUCCAACUACUAUAUAUAGAUCCCAUGUGUUUGAAUUUUAUCAUUCAAGAAAUUCAUGAAAGUCAAUAGAUAGAUCAUAUCAUUCCAUUCCAUGCUUACACUUUAGUUUGCAUAAAACACUUUUAGAAGUGAUUUAAAUUUGCAUCAAAGUCAUGGUCAUGGUAGAGAGGGAAUUCCGUUCGAGUUCGCUGGUUGAAGUCAUUUGGAGUGCUCCUAUGACUCGACGUGGUCGUUGUAUCUUGGGAGAUGAUUGUUGAAGAACCGUUAGCACCGAUGUGGGACAAAUUCAUCUUAACGACAAAGUGUUCAAUACUUGCCUCGGUCAAAAAUCUAUCUUCUCACUUUAUUUUCUGAGUUCUGUUAAUUAUACUUUGAUUUCAGAAAAUGAUUAAUCUAAUUUACGUGUUUAUGUUGCGAGGUUCAAUUCAAAGGACAAAGUUCAAUCAUUCAAGAAUCGAAAGAGAAGAAUCCAUAUUCUUGCGUUUGGAAUCGGUAAAUUAUCAUUUCUCCUUAUUAAAUCCAAUUUCGAUAAGUCGAAAUUAUGUUUCGAUUUCAUGCAAAUCGACGAUAGGUUUUUAUGAAUAUAAUUUCCACAUAAUCGGUGUAAAUUUUCCAACAGUUUCAUGUGCAGUAGGAAGGCUAUCAAAGAGCCAAUUAAGCAAAGAGCAAGUGCAGGUUUAUCAAUAAGGAAAGUAACAGGAGAAGGAAUCUCUUAGGAAGAUAUAUUCGUCCAUGCAACGACACAAAAGUGUGUAUAGAAACUAUUCCAUGUGAAAUUCGAGUAGUUUUUUCGACAAAUUCCAAUUUAAAGUAUUCAAUUCGGAGCAUUCAAACGCAAAAAGAAUGAGUUUUUCAAUAUUUUGUUCACUGGUAACAGUAGAAACAAUGCUUGUGGAGAGAAAUGCAGCAGCCAAAGCAAUUAUUGAUCUGAUUCAUGUUGUUAACAUUACUAAUCUUGUUAUAGGAACCAAACAAUCACCUUUCACAAGAUAAGCCCUUCUUUCAUGUCAUAUUUUUCGUUUAACGUCUUAGAGGAUAAGCCCGAAUUCCAAUUUCAAGAGCAAUAAUGUAGAUUUAUGAUGAUUUUUGCCCUAAUGUCAGACACGAACACUUUUCCAAUAACGAGAGGAAUGAUAAACAAAACAAAAAUAGAACACAAAGUUAUUGUGUUUUACACCAUGCGAGAUAUGAACUUGAUACCUUUCUUUUAACUUAGUCUUAGGGAACCCUAAUCGAACAUCGGGAGUACUAAUUAAUAAGCAAAAAAUAAUUACAUAAGAGUUAUAGUGGUUCACCCUAAUGUGACAUAUGAACAUGGUAUCUUUCUUUGAACAUCGAGUCUUAGGUAUUAAACUAUAAUAAACGAAAUAAAAACAAAAAAACUCACGAAUUAUAGUGGUUUACACUAUCACUAUAAAAAUCAAUUGAGCUAAACUAACUUAGAUAUGCAUAUCAAAGUUUAUGAGUUAACGUUAGUGACUUUGUCUUUAUCAUUUUCAGUCUUAUCAACUCAUUCUAUUUUAUUCUAGGUUAUCUGGUAUAUGAUGGAAAAACGACCAAUGGCCUUUGUUGGGUUUUUGAUACCCAAUAAAUUUCAGGUUAUGAUGUUAACGUAGGUUAAUAUUAUUUUAUAGACAUAGGCCGAUGAAUGAAAUAAGUUCAACAAUCAAGUCCAUGAGUUACACUCGGCCCAAUUGUAUUCCCUCUUGGAUGGCUUGAAUCUUAACCCUUUUAAGCCUUUUAAAGGUCCAACUUAAAGCCUAACCCUAGAGUAUAUAUAUGACUAUAACCUUAGCCACUUUCUAGUGAUGUUCUGUGUGGUUUUGUGAGAAAAAUAAAGGAAUCUCGGCUGCCCCCUUUGUGUGUGAAAAAAAGGCCUCUAGAAGUGUCCAACGCUUGUUUACUUUGUGUAAUUGGUGGUUUCUUCAUAGUAUAAUGUUGUGGUGUAUUCUCCUAACCUUUGUGGUCACAAAUCAUCAUAUUUUCUUGUUCUAUGUGAGUAAAAUUGAAUAAUAAUCGAGGUGAAUUAUAUUUGUUGUGGUUUAAAGCUGAUUGGAUUGGUUGUUAGCAGAGAAAGGUACGUUAAAUUGAGCUCGAAAAUUAUCGAUUUGAAGAUCUUUGAAGAAAACUUCUGCAACAGCCUUCAAAUGCAACAAGGCAAAGGACAUUGUCCCAUCCAAUAUUUCAUCAAGGCCAAAAAUCAACAGCCACUCUGAAAGGAAUUUCUUUGAAUAUGUAUGCUUUACAAGCAAAUUCAAAUGAAAUCUAACCUUUUUCAUUUUGUCCUUAUUUUUUGUUGUAUUUUUUUAAAAAUAUGUAAAUCUACAUAAAGAUAGGCACCAUAUAGCUUCUUGAAUAAUUUUUGUCUCUCUGGCAUCAGUUUGACUUUAUUCAUACACUAUCA
This 3834-nucleotide long non-coding RNA is filed under the name Olea europaea subsp. europaea. Lineage: Eukaryota; Viridiplantae; Streptophyta; Magnoliopsida; Lamiales; Oleaceae. The record is from RNAcentral.